This 410-nucleotide ribosomal RNA is filed under the name uncultured bacterium. RNAcentral describes it as "bacterial SSU rRNA". It matches the Rfam family "Bacterial small subunit ribosomal RNA", at positions 370 to 772 of the family's 1533-position model. The record is from RNAcentral.
AAUGGGGGCAACCCUGAUCCAGCCAUGCCGCGUGAGUGAAGAAGGCCUUCGGGUUGUAAAGCUCUUUCGGCCGGGAAGAAAUCGCUUGGGUGAAUACCCUGUGUGGAUGACGGUACCGGAACAAGAAGCACCGGCUAACUACGUGCCAGCAGCCGCGGUAAUACGUAGGGNGCGAGCGUUAAUCGGAAUUACUGGGCGUAAAGCGUGCGUAGGCGGUUUGGUCAGUCAGCCGUGAAAGCCCCGGGCUUAACCUGGGAAUGGCGGUUGAGACGGCUGGACUUGAGUGGGCUAGAGGAUCGUGGAAUUCCGGGUGUAGCGGUGAAAUGCGUAGAGAUCCGGAGGAACACCGAUGGCGAAGGCAGCGGUCUGGGGCCACACUGACGCUGAGGCACGACAGCGUGGGGAGCAAA